RNAcentral lists this ribosomal RNA (112 nucleotides) under Nitella microcarpa. RNAcentral's name for it is "partial 5.8S ribosomal RNA". It matches the Rfam family "5.8S ribosomal RNA", at positions 43 to 154 of the family's 154-position model. From Rfam's summary of the family: 5.8S ribosomal RNA (5.8S rRNA) is a component of the large subunit of the eukaryotic ribosome. It is transcribed by RNA polymerase I as part of the 45S precursor that also contains 18S and 28S rRNA. Functionally, it is thought that 5.8S rRNA may be involved in ribosome translocation. The record is from RNAcentral. Lineage: Eukaryota; Viridiplantae; Streptophyta; Charophyceae; Charales; Characeae.
ACGCAGCGAAAUGCGAUACGUAGUGUGAAUUGCAGAAUUCCGCGAACCAUGGAGAUCUUGAACGCACUUGGCGCCCGAGGCUUUGGCCGAGGGCACGUCCGUCUGAGCGUCA